AAAUUGAAGAGUUUGAUCAUGGCUCAGAUUGAACGCUGGCGGCAGGCCUAACACAUGCAAGUCGAACGGUAACAGGAAGCAGCUUGCUGCUUCGCUGACGAGUGGCGGACGGGUGAGUAAUGUCUGGGAAACUGCCUGAUGGAGGGGGAUAACUACUGGAAACGGUGGCUAAUACCGCAUAACGUCGCAAGACCAAAGAGGGGGACCUUCGGGCCUCUUGCCAUCAGAUGUGCCCAGAUGGGAUUAGCUUGUUGGUGAGGUAACGGCUCACCAAGGCGACGAUCCCUAGCUGGUCUGAGAGGAUGACCAGCCACACUGGAACUGAGACACGGUCCAGACUCCUACGGGAGGCAGCAGUGGGGAAUAUUGCACAAUGGGCGCAAGCCUGAUGCAGCCAUGCCGCGUGUAUGAAGAAGGCCUUCGGGUUGUAAAGUACUUUCAGCGGGGAGGAAGGUGUUGCGGUUAAUAACCGCAGCAAUUGACGUUACCCGCAGAAGAAGCACCGGCUAACUCCGUGCCAGCAGCCGCGGUAAUACGGAGGGUGCAAGCGUUAAUCGGAAUUACUGGGCGUAAAGCGCACGCAGGCGGUCUGUCAAGUCGGAUGUGAAAUCCCCGGGCUCAACCUGGGAACUGCAUUCGAAACUGGCAGGC
Molecule: ribosomal RNA, 651 nt
Filed under: Salmonella enterica
Lineage: Bacteria; Pseudomonadati; Pseudomonadota; Gammaproteobacteria; Enterobacterales; Enterobacteriaceae
Description: bacterial SSU rRNA
Rfam family: Bacterial small subunit ribosomal RNA
Source: RNAcentral